GGUUUGAAGGUAAGAAUGUUUUGAUUUUUAAGAAUUUAUUCGGCAGCAGCGGCGACUAGGGCAGUGGCAGGAGUCGGGGCUUGCAGCGGGCCUCGGGGCUAAGAGUGCGGCACGACCUAGAGCAGCAGACAGCACAGUGCGCCAAGAAGGAGGCGCAGCAGCCGCCCUGACCCAUCAUGGAGAUGGAAAAGGAGUUCGAGCAGAUCGACAAGUCCGGGAGCUGGGCGGCCAUUUACCAGGACAUCGAAUACAAAACCAGUGACUUCCCGUGUAGCGUGGCCGAGCUUCCUAAGAACAAAAACCGAAAUAGGUACAGAGAUGUCAGUCCCUUUGACCAUAGCCGGAUUAAACUACAUCAAGAAGAUAACGACUAUAUCAAUGCUAGUUUGAUAAAAAUGGAAGAAGCCCAAAGGAGUUACAUUCUUACCCAGGGCCCUUUGCCUAACACGUGUGGGCACUUUUGGGAGAUGGUGUGGGAGCAGAAGAGCAGGGGUGUCGUCAUGCUCAGCAGAGUGAUGGAGAAAGGCUUGUUAAAAUGCGCACAGUACUGGCCACAAAAAGAAGAAAAAGAAAUGAUCUUUGAAGACACAAAUUUGAAAAUAACAUUGAUCUCUGAAGAUAUCAAGUCAUAUUAUACAGUUGGACAGCUAGAAUUGGAAAACCUUGCAACCCAAGAAACUCGAGAGAUCUCACAUUUCCACUAUACCACAUGGCCUGACUUUGGAGUCCCGGAAUCGCCAGCCUCAUUCUUGAACUUUCUUUUCAAAGUCCGAGAGUCGGGGUCACUCAGUCUGGAGCACGGCCCUGUGGUGGUGCACUGCAGUGCGGGCAUCGGAAGGUCUGGGACCUUCUGUCUGGUUGAUACCUGCCUCAUGCUGAUGGACAAAAGGAAAGACUCUUCUUCCGUUGAUAUCAAGAAAUUGCUGUUAGAAAUGAGGAAGUUUCGGAUGGGGCUGAUCCAGACAGCAGACCAGCUGCGCUUCUCCUACCUGGCUGUGAUCGAAGGUGCCAAAUUCAUCAUGGGAGACUCUUCCAUGCAGGAUCAGUGGAAGGAGCUUUCCCACGAGGACCUGGAGCCCCUACCAGAGCACGUCCCCUGGCCUCCCUGGCCACCAAAACGAAUCCUGGAGGCACACAGUGGGAAAUGCAGGGAGUUCUUCCCAAACCACCAGUGGGUGAAGGAUGAGACUGGGGAGGAUAAAGACUACCCGAUCAAGGAAGAAAAAGGAAGCCCCUUAAAUGUGGCACCCUACAGCAUAGAAAGCAUAAGUCAAGACACUGAAAUAAGAAGUCGAGUCAUGGGGGGAAGUCUUCGAGAUGCCCAGGCUGCCUCCCCAGCCAAAGGGGAGCCGUCAUCGCCCAAGAAGGAGGAAGACCAUGCACUAACUCACUGGAAGCCCUUCCUGGUCAACAUGUGUGUGGCUACGGUCCUCACGGUCGGUGCGUACCUAUGCUACAGGUUCCUGUUCAGCAGCAACACAUAGCUUGACCCUCCUCCACUGCACCUCCACCCACAGUCCACCUCUGCCCGCAAAGCCCACAUCAAACUAGCAGGGAUGCUGCAGUAGGUAACGGCGUAGAGAGUCGGGCCCUGGACGGACGUUGGUUCUGCACUAAAACCCAUCUUCCCCAGAUGUGUCUCAACCC
This is an RNA transcript of Sapajus apella (tufted capuchin), 1647 nucleotides long. It is a transcript of the gene named tyrosine-protein phosphatase non-receptor type 1 pseudogene, with no coding region annotated. Lineage: Eukaryota; Metazoa; Chordata; Mammalia; Primates; Cebidae. The record is from RefSeq and is a predicted model, not a curated record. The transcript has a single exon.